Molecule: long non-coding RNA, 392 nt
Organism: Bradysia coprophila
Lineage: Eukaryota; Metazoa; Arthropoda; Insecta; Diptera; Sciaridae
Source: RefSeq, a predicted model, not a curated record
AGAUCGAAUGUUAUUAGUCUGAUUUUAUCAGUUGAUUCAGUGCAGUCGUAAGAAAAUGAAGUUUCUGUGGCUAUUGAGCAUUUUGUUAGUAAUGAUGUUUUCAAGUUCUGUGAACUGUAGCUAUUGGUGUUGGAUGCUAGAUUUAAAUUCUAGCCCUUGCAGAUGCAAACAGGUUGAACUGAGCCAAGGUUGUCUAAGAUAUGGAGUUUAUCAAGACCAGAAUUCGUGUCAGAAUAGAGCGUGCGCUGGUCGCAAUUAGCAAAAGGGUGACAGAAUGCUUUUCAAGGAAGGGGAUAGAAUUAGUUCACUUUGGUUUGCAAAAUAUCAGCAAUGUAAUAUUGUGAAUGAACCGUAAUAAACGUACAAGAGAGUUGUGUUUAUUUUUUCAGUUA